AUUGAACGCUGGCGGCAUGCUUUACACAUGCAAGUCGAACGGUAACAGGGAGCUUGCUCCGCUGACGAGUGGCGAACGGGUGAGUAAUGCAUCGGAACGUACCCAGUCGUGGGGGAUAACGUAGCGAAAGUUACGCUAAUACCGCAUACGUCCUGAGGGAGAAAGCGGGGGACCGUAAGGCCUCGCGCGAUUGGAGCGGCCGAUGUCGGAUUAGCUAGUUGGUAGGGUAAAGGCCUACCAAGGCGACGAUCCGUAGCGGGUCUGAGAGGGAUGAUCCGCCACACUGGGACUGAGACACGGCCCAGACUCCUACGGGAGGCAGCAGUGGGGAAUUUUGGACAAUGGGCGAAAGCCUGAUCCAGCCAUGCCGCGUGAGUGAAGAAGGCCUUCGGGUUGUAAACUUCUUUACUACGCGAAUAGAGGUCAGUACGAGAUACUAAUAGGAAGGUAGUGUAGUAAAAAGCACCGGCUAACUCCGUG
This 480-nucleotide ribosomal RNA is filed under the name uncultured bacterium. RNAcentral describes it as "bacterial SSU rRNA". It matches the Rfam family "Bacterial small subunit ribosomal RNA", at positions 30 to 507 of the family's 1533-position model. The record is from RNAcentral.